RNAcentral lists this transfer RNA (73 nucleotides) under Canis lupus familiaris (dog). It matches the Rfam family "tRNA". From Rfam's summary of the family: Transfer RNA (tRNA) molecules are approximately 80 nucleotides in length. Their secondary structure includes four short double-helical elements and three loops (D, anti-codon, and T loops). Further hydrogen bonds mediate the characteristic L-shaped molecular structure. tRNAs have two regions of fundamental functional importance: the anti-codon, which is responsible for specific mRNA codon recognition, and the 3' end, to which the tRNAs corresponding amino acid is attached (by aminoacyl-tRNA synthetases). tRNAs cope with the degeneracy of the genetic code in two manners: having more than one tRNA (with a specific anti-codon) for a particular amino acid; and 'wobble' base-pairing, i.e. permitting non-standard base-pairing at the 3rd anti-codon position. The record is from Rfam by way of RNAcentral. Lineage: Eukaryota; Metazoa; Chordata; Mammalia; Carnivora; Canidae. RNAcentral also lists the same sequence under 3 other names.
GCCUGGCUGGCUUGGUUGGUAGAACAUGCGGCUCUUAAUCUCAGGGUUGUGGGUUCAAGCCCCAUGUUGGGCA